Molecule: long non-coding RNA, 5745 nt
Organism: Heterocephalus glaber (naked mole-rat)
Lineage: Eukaryota; Metazoa; Chordata; Mammalia; Rodentia; Bathyergidae
Source: RefSeq, a predicted model, not a curated record
GGCUCUGCUGACUUCCUGUCCUGGACACUUGAGGGCUCUGCUGACUUCCUGUCCUGGACACUUGAGGGCUCUGCUGACUUCCUGUCCUGCUGCCACUGAACUCUGGCCUUUUCUGCUCUACAGUCUCAACCCUACACUUCUCUGUUAAUAUCUUAAUACACCUUACCUAUCUAUCACAGCUCUCUUCAGGUAUUGCCCUGGUCUCUCAGCACCUACUCUGCUGCCCCAGCACAUCUGGGCCGGGCUGUGGACAAGGCAUUUCCUUAGAUGCAGUAAACUUCUCUGUGAGGAGUGGUGUCCUUACUUCACAGGAUUAUUGUGAAAAUUAAACUGAUAUUAGGUACAGAUGCUGCUCUCCUGGUGAUGGGAUUUUGAGCGGCUAAACCCACUGUACACUGAAACUAUCAUAAGCAGAGAGUGUGUCUGAUACACCUAACCUACAGAGCAUCAGUGCUUUUCCCAGUGAUCAUGGGCAUGGCUGGGAGGACUCUGCGUUGCUAGCCCGGGAAGAGAUACGGAUUCCAAAAAGUAAAAAAAAAAUCCUAAGUGCAACCACUUUCACUUAGAUGAGGACAGUAUGUAUUAAAAAUCCUUAUGAAUCAGAAAAUGUCAUACAAGGUAAGGUAUGAUAACUCCUCUUACCACUUUGUUUUAUGCGCCUGAGAAGGGAUUCAUCAGAUCAGCAACAUCAUACUAGGGGCCACUUCAUGCUUCCCAUGCCUGAAACACUUGCCUCCUUCAUCUUCACAGGCAGCCACCAGCCAGGCCACUCAGCCAUUGCAACCUGCCAGUUUUGUGUCCUUGGGCAGUUCCUUAAUAGCUCAGACCCCCAUCUCCAAAAGGGGGUUCAUGCCAGGACUCCUCACGAGGGCUGCCAGGAGGCAUUAACGCAUGCAAACCACAUAGCAGGCUCAUGUGUCGUGAUACUACUUUGUUUCUCACAUGAGGCUGAACUAGAACUGGACUCGGGUCCAGCCGCUUCUCCCCUCCUGCUGUGCCCCCUCUCAUUACAGUCUGUAAUCUACGAAGUGCCGGCAUACCUGUUUCCGUGUUCCACAGCACAGACCAUGUUCCAUCCCUCUGCCUCCUCGGGAAGGGGACAAAGGGAUUAUACAACAGAAACCUGGAACUGCUGAGGGUCUUCUCAACCUGCGCUGGAGAAAUGUAGGGUGAGACAUGGAGCCAGAGGGGAAGAAACCGAACAGGAAGCUCCAGGUCACUAACCAGCAGCAGCAGCUGGCUCCGUGGUGCAGUUUUGAAGACACCUCUGAAACAGGCUCAUCAUAUCCCUCCCCAGAAAUGCCAGCGCGGCUCCUGACACCUCUCCUCCAAGGUGGGUCCUGGCACCAACAGGUCCCUCAUCUGAGAUCGGAGUCGCCUGCUCUUUCUCCUCUCCAGAGGUCUGGGCCUCAGGGCAGAGACCCUGCCCCGAGCCAGGGUUCAGGUGUAUUAAUUCCAACCUCUUGCUGGGUUUCCUCUGCCAUGGAGGGGGAGCAGCCUUCUGUAGUUGCCACCUCCAUGGUUCCUCUGUGUCACCCUUUUGACUCUUGAGUUCUCUCCCUUAAAGGCUGAUGUUUCCUUAGAUUCAGUUCUCUGUAUUGAUGCGUGUUCAAGGCGCACACACACGCACGCAUGCACGCAUGCACACCCGCACACAGGUAUGGUUUCUCUCUCUUGCCUGGACCCCAACUGACACCUUAGGAAGGAAGGUAGAAAAAGACCAACCAGGAAGAAUUUGUGCCGCUCCAGCUUCUAAUCAACUACAGAAAUGAGAUCCACAAAACCCAACUCACAGCUCAAAGCUAAAGGAGGAAAUAAAGAAAGACGGUGUCGAUAAACCCUCAGGGAAUGACCACGUGGUGGCCAGUGGUACAGACCCUCUGCUGGUUCAGGGAAACUUCAGAGGCACCUGCAUCACCUUUCCCUCAGUAUCCAACACUUUCUAGGCACUAACCCUGCACUGAGAACCCCGUCCUGCAAAGGACAAGCUGCCGGACCCAGGGGCCUUCGAAGUUCCCACCAAGCCUGUCUCAAGUGAACCUGAAGGUGCGAGAAGACGGGGUGCAGGACUGAGCACCAGGAGGGCGGAGCUUCAGGGUGCUGGAGGGGCGCGGUGCUUACACCUGCCUGCCACGGGGCAGCAAUACCCUGCACAGCCUGGCAGGGGCGCGGGCAGUCUGAGUCCAGCCUCCUGCCCUGCUCAGGGCCGUCAUUAAUGGCGUCAGAUGGACAGCGCUGAGAGGGACGCACAGCUCUGCACUGUCACCAGUGGGGGGGUUCCUCCACGGUCUCCCGUCCCCACUGCUCUCUGCUGCCCACUCAGGUCAUGAGAGAUUUAGCCUGAGCCUGAGUAAAAUGGAAUCAAACACUUUCCUAUAGGCUAUUUUUCAAUAACUUCCUCCCCAAAAGCCUGAGGAUUCAAAAUGGUGCAUGACGGACGCCUCGCUGUUAUCCUCGCUUGAUGGGUAAUAUACAGCCUUUGCUCCUAAGGGAAGUGUGAGACCUGACUCUGACGAGCCGCAGACGAUAGCAUUUCUCUCCGCAGAGCUUUCCAACGUUCUGAAUGUCUUUUAUUUCUUCCUUCCUUCCCUCCUUCUCUUUUCUUUUUGUGAGACGGAGACUGAACAGGGAGGGAAAAGGCAGAGAAAGGCCUCCUCAUUUCAGCUGGAGGGCUGGAUCCGCAGUUUUCUUUAGCCUUCUUUGCUGCAUCUGAGUCUUACCUGUUACUUCCUGGUCGCUGAAUUAGAAGAUGACUACGCUGCUGGUGAGGAGGGGUCCGCAUGGAGGUGCACAGAGGCAACCCUUCUGGGAAAACUGGCUCCGAGCUCGCUGCAGGGCCUGGAGCUUCCCUUGAGUUGCUGAGCUUGUCACUCGUUCCCUGGCAGGCGGGUCCUGCCUGCACUGCCUGCCUCACCCUGCCUGUUCUGUGGGCCAUUAAUGAACCGGAACCACAGCUGUGCUUAGGAAGGCUUUGGUCAGCUCAACGUUUCUUGGGUUGUGACAGAGAUGAGAGGCGAAAACAGACAGGAGGAGGGAAAGGGCCUGAGGGACAUGUGAGAGCUGAGGAAGAGCCACUGACUGCAUAAAGGGGCUGGGCUGUGAGCGGAGCUUGGGGCCAGCAUGGUCAGUGGGCCUCGGCUACCUGCACACCUCCGUCUGAGUGUCUCCCACCUGGGCCUGCUGACCCUAGCCAGGGCUGCUGACCGUGCUGUGAAUAGGAGCCGUUUCUUUGCCAAGGGGAAGUGACAAAAACACAGGCAGGAAGGACACAUGAGUGAGCACCAGACACUGCCCGCUCUGCCCCCACAUCCCUGUGGGCUGUUGGACAGGAGUGGCUGAACCGCAGAUUCCCUCAGGUGGCGGCCAAGGGCCUUCAGCCCUAGAGAAAAGGCACAAGACACAGCCAACAAACACAGAAGGGUCUGGAAGGGAGGCUCAGUCUGUUUUAGGAUUAGCACACUGGUAAAUCUUCCACUGUUAGGUCUCACUACUAUUUUCAGUGGAUUUAAAAUAUUCCAAGUGAUAGUAGAGGUUGGAUCUCUUAAAGAUUGAGCCAAUCAGAACAAAAAUGCCACACUGUAAAAGGCUUGAACAGGGACAUAACAUAGAAACAUCUACAAAAUGUAUUGUCUACAAACACAUUAGCAUCAGUCAGCCCAUAUUAUUUUUUCUUCAUUCAUUCAUUCAUUCAUUCAUUCACGCAUUCAAUGAAUAUCUAUUCAACAGUAUGUGCAAUGAAACAUGAAAGGCACAUGAGGGACAUUAAGAUUAGAAUUCUUUUCCACAAGAAAUUUACAAACUAAUAGGAGAAGUAAGCAUUGGCUAAAACAAAUAUGUAAACAUUAGUAAAGUCAUUUCAGGAAUGAAGUACAAACAGUGCUAGGGGAUUCAGAGAGCAACAUGAGCAGUUGGGAUGUUGGCGAAGGCAGGGUCUGUGUGGCUCUGACGACUGCAUAACAGUAUGUGUGGGAGAGAGGAGAGAGUUUUUAGUGCUAGGGAAAAACUGUAUCCAGCAAAGACAUUUCAUCUGCAAAACCCAGAAAUCCGACGUGAGGUUCCUUCAAGCUCCACAUGUUAUGACACAGAUGAGCCACGUUUAGUAUGCUGAGCUUAAAACGCAAUUUAAACAGCCAAGUGGGCACAGCUGGCGGGAACCAGUGCAGAAGUCAGAUCUCAUCCCUGUGGCCUCCCAGGCAGUUAGGUACUGUAUAGCUACAACGUAAGGUUUCUGGUCAUCGGCAGCCAGCUCCUAGAUACAAGAAACUGACCAUGUAGUCCAGGGCCAGUCAGUUCCAGAGUCUUCCCUUCCUACUGCUGCAAGGCCUUGGGUCUCUCGAUGUGACUUUAAGGUGGCCACACGUUAGCUACGGUGUUCAUCUUCCCAGGUCCCACAAAGUUAAUUUAUAAUUCCGUGAACAAAGCUGAAAGGACGGAAGGUUUUAAUCCAAGCUUUAAUGGCACUAACACCACAGAAUUCCCUCAUUCUUUCCCAAAUCGAGGGAAACAACUCUGGGUGUAUUGUCACAGUGAAUUACUGUAUUUGUACAUGAUCUCUCACAUCCAUGGUUUUUUUCUAAAUAUGCAGUUGAUAUGUAAGACUUAAAGACAUUAGAAUAAAUCUUCACAGCUGAUCCUGAUGACUGGGUUAGUAAUUUCCCACAAUUAAUCCAAAAUUUCCCCAUUUUCACUUUGUGCUUAUAAUGUACAAGGCUAUUAGAUGUUCAGAGGUAGAGAUUAAGAAAUUUUAAUGAAUACAAUAAGACCUUAAAACUCAGUGAAACAGAAAGGUCAUCCUAGACAUGCUCGGAACAUAAAAUAUGACCGACUGUAUGUAAACACAGAAUCUCACAGAAUGAUUGCUACAUAAAUGGUGUUUAGGGGUAAAGGAUGAAUGUGAAGUGUGUUAGUCCCAUCUCUUGUAAGCAGAUUAGAGGCUGGGAAUACUUUUCUUGGGGGUGGAGACAGAUCUGAAUGAAUAUUCGCACCCUUCCCCGUCAAUGGCACCAAUCUCUAUGCUGGACGACACCAGGGUUCAUGGGACCCCACGAACUACAGAGCAUGCACUGGGCAGGGAGUUCUCAUCCAGGCUGUCUGGAAGCCUGCACACCCAACUACUGCACCCACAUCUGUGGGAAAGGUCUCUUCUAAUAGUCCCUCGGGGAAUCCCCAUACUGGGAACCACUGAGAACCACCCUCAAGCUGAUGCAGCAUGUCUGUGUCACUCUGUAACAGGCCGCUGGUGCCGCAUGCACCCUUCUACACUAACACUGCUGCUGCAAGGUCCAGUCUGGGAGUCCUGAUGACAUUAGACAUGUGGGCUGUCACUUACUGUGUCCUUACUGUGCCAGUAGCUGAGCUGAGCUUUUGCCCAUGUGAAGGUGAUCUGCAAAACAAACUUAGGGUAAGUGCUGCUGCUUUCCCAGUUUACCAAGGAGAAACAGCAGCCCGAGGAAGGUAAGUGACCUGCCCUGAGCCACACAGCUCCCCAGGUUGGAACUGGGAUGCGAACACUGCCUGCUUGGCUUCAGAGUCUGGGCUUCUAAUUGCUAAGCUUCAACAGCUCAUUUAUGUGUAUGGAAUAUUCAAUUUUUCAAAUGUGUUCUGCAUCUGUGCACAAAAAGCUAUUUGGUACAUAUUUAUCAUAAAAUGGAGAAAAAUAAAAAUCUGCUCAGAAGUGAUUUGUCAGAAGGGUAUAUAUUCAGCAUAUAUUUUCAUAAAACAUUUCGCUGGUUGUGAGUGUCCAAU